RNAcentral lists this ribosomal RNA (450 nucleotides) under uncultured bacterium. RNAcentral's name for it is "partial 16S ribosomal RNA". It matches the Rfam family "Bacterial small subunit ribosomal RNA", at positions 338 to 795 of the family's 1533-position model. The record is from RNAcentral.
CCUACGGGGGGCAGCAGUGAGGAAUUUUGCGCAAUGGGGGAAACCCUGACGCAGCAACGCCGCGUGAGUGAUGAAGGCCUUCGGGUCGUAAAGCUCUGUCAGGUGGGAAGAAAUAAGUCUGGUUAAUAGCCAGAUUUUUUGACGGUACCACCGAAGGAAGCAUCGGCCAACUCCGUGCCAGCAGCCGCGGUAAUACGGAGGAGGCAAGCGUUGUUCGGAAUUAUUGGGGGUGGAUAGCGUGUAGGCAGUUGAAAUCCCUAGGCUUAACCUAGGAAUUGCAUUUGAAACUGGUUAGCUAGAGUACGGGAGAGGAAGGUGGAAUUCCUGGUGUAGAGGUGAAAUUCGUAGAUAUCGGGAAGAACACCGGUGGCGAAGGCGGCCUUCUGGCCCGAUACUGACGCUGAUACGCGAAAGCGUGGGGAGCAAACAGGAUUAGAUACCCCUGUAGUC